AACCGGAGCUAAUACCGGAUAAUAUAUUGAACCGCAUGGUUCAAUAGUGAAAGACGGUUUUGCUGUCACUUAUAGAUGGAUCCGCGCCGCAUUAGCUAGUUGGUAAGGUAGCGGCUUACCAAGGCAACGAUGCGUAGCCGACCUGAGAGGGUGAUCGGCCACACUGGAACUGAGACACGGUCCAG
This 185-nucleotide ribosomal RNA is filed under the name uncultured Staphylococcus sp. RNAcentral describes it as "partial 16S ribosomal RNA". It matches the Rfam family "Bacterial small subunit ribosomal RNA", at positions 155 to 334 of the family's 1533-position model. The record is from RNAcentral. Lineage: Bacteria; Bacillati; Bacillota; Bacilli; Caryophanales; Staphylococcaceae.